AGGAUAAACGCUGGCGGCGUGCCUAACACAUGCAAGUCGAACGUCUCUUCUUUCGGGAAGAGGAGUGGCGGACGGGUGAGGAACACGUGGGAACCUGCCCUACAGUGAGGAAUACCGGCGAGAAAUCGCCGACAAGACCGCAUAGCCCUCUCUGGUGAGAGCCAGAGAAGGAAAGCUUCGCAAGAGGCGCUGGAGGAGGGGCCUGCGUCCGAUUAGCUAGUUGGUGGGGUAAGAGCCUACCAAGGCGUCGAUCGGUAGCUGGUCUGAGAGGACGAUCAGCCACACUGGGAUUGAGAACGGCCCAGACUCCUACGGGGGGCAGCAGUGAGGAAUUUUUCGGCAAUGGGGGAAACCCUGACCGAGCAACGCCGCGUGCAGGAAGACGGCCUUCGGGUUGUAAACUGCUUUUCUUUGGGACGAGCAAGGACGGUACCAGAGGAAUCAGCCCGGCUCACUACGUGCCAGCAGCCGC
RNAcentral lists this ribosomal RNA (472 nucleotides) under uncultured bacterium. RNAcentral describes it as "SSU rRNA". It matches the Rfam family "Bacterial small subunit ribosomal RNA", at positions 26 to 518 of the family's 1533-position model. The record is from RNAcentral.